GCCAGCAGUCAUAUCACCCUGCAGCUCCCAACUGGCCACCCACUGGAACUCAGGAGAAGAGAGCCUGGUCAGUACCUGGAUGGGAGACCUCCUGGGAAAAACUAAGGUUGCUGCUGGAA
This 119-nucleotide ribosomal RNA is filed under the name Lepisosteus oculatus (spotted gar). The record is from RNAcentral. Lineage: Eukaryota; Metazoa; Chordata; Actinopteri; Semionotiformes; Lepisosteidae.